This is a long non-coding RNA of Manis javanica (Malayan pangolin), 1307 nucleotides long. RefSeq lists it as uncharacterized. The record is from RefSeq and is a predicted model, not a curated record. NCBI's taxonomy places the organism in Eukaryota, Metazoa, Chordata, Mammalia, Pholidota, Manidae.
GCAUAAGCUUUUCUAGAAGCCCCUAUCAGGCUUCUCCUCCCAUCUCAUUGCCUGGAACUCACCUGGCCACUUUGGGCUACAUGGAAGACUGGGGAAAUGUUGUAGCUUUUACAACAGAGGAGAACAAGGAAGAAGGAGCUGGAGAGGGGCUGUUGGGAUUGCCCGUCAACAGUGUUUGCCACAGAUGGAGAGCCCAGGGUCAGAAUAAGCUCAAGUUCACUACAUCCUUCUGAAUAUCGUGAUUGGAAUUUUCUGGCACCAAGCUGUCCUGAGCUGAAAAUUCUUUAGGAGAUCCACAGGUUCCAGGAGCACCAUCUGACAUCAUGAACCAGAAGAAAUGGGAUAAAGGACCAGACGUGCACAAAUGGACAUAGAUCCUUGCAAAGCCACCUGGGUUUGUUAAGGAUCUCUCGGUCACAUGCAACAGAAAAUAACCCUGGGCAGUGUAAGCACAUUAAAGUCAUUCUGUGCUGAUCACAGUGUGAUUCUUACAGAAUUGAAGGAAGUGAUGAAUGACAGAGGUUCAUGAGGGACAGGAAUGAGUGCAGUGUGGACACCUUACCAGCAGAAAUUUGGGGCCUUUUUCUCCAGGUAAUAACAAAUCAGAUCUGUAAGUGUUCUGUUUCCAAAUACUGUCAUUCUGAAUGUCAAAACCACAUUUGAAUGUUUGGGGUUAGGUGUCCAUCUUUGGAUUAAACUGUUAGGUCACUGGGGCAAGGUAAGUAAGGUAGGUAGGUCAGGAUGGACAGAAUUUCUGAGACACACCCAUUGGCCUGAGAGUCAGUCUCUGAAAAGAAGUAUUUGUUAUGAAUUGACCAGCCCUCCCAGACCCAUUGUGUGCUAUACACCUCAUAUCCCAACACUAACCAUUACAAUUAAGACAUUUUCAAAUGCUCCCGUACAGACUGCAAGGAAAAGGAAAAUGAAUUGUGCACACACACAUACACACACACACACACAAUCCAAGGGUGAGCAAACUAAAGCCAUGUGAUGAUUUUAUAACAAAGAUGCUGAAGUUUUGUUGCUGAAUAGAAAUUUGUUCUUUGGCUCAUAGAAUGUUGGUUAUGGGCUGGUGUGACUCCCUAAACUCCUUUGUUGAAGUCCUAAUCCCCAAUAUGACAGAAAGGGACCUUAUUUGGAGAUACAUUCUUUACAGUGGUAAUCGUUUGAAAAUGAAGUAAUUAGGGUAGGAUAUAAUCCAGUACAACUGGUGUUCUUAUAAAAAGGGGAAAUUUGGACACAGGUGACAGACACAGCACAUAGGGAGAAUGCCAUGUGAAGAUGAAGGCACGGGUCUGGGUAAUGUA